CAGGACUGGACUGCAGCAGCCGCAUCGUGUUGUACGAGGCGACG
This 44-nucleotide non-coding RNA is filed under the name Prymnesium polylepis. The record is from RNAcentral. Lineage: Eukaryota; Haptophyta; Prymnesiales; Prymnesiaceae.